GCGUCCUGCCUCGUGAUCGUCUUCUCACCCUUCACAGGCAGGGGCACAACGGAAGGCUCCCGGGAGGAAGUUCCUCGCGGGAGCCUUCC
This 89-nucleotide non-coding RNA is filed under the name Streptomyces yokosukanensis. RNAcentral describes it as "sodF sRNA". It matches the Rfam family "sodF sRNA". Rfam says of the family: Identified in Streptomyces coelicolor. Lineage: Bacteria; Bacillati; Actinomycetota; Actinomycetes; Kitasatosporales; Streptomycetaceae. The record is from Rfam by way of RNAcentral.